This 465-nucleotide ribosomal RNA is filed under the name uncultured bacterium. RNAcentral's name for it is "partial 16S ribosomal RNA". It matches the Rfam family "Bacterial small subunit ribosomal RNA", at positions 338 to 795 of the family's 1533-position model. The record is from RNAcentral.
CCUACGGGAGGCAGCAGUAGGGAAUUUUCGUCAAUGGGCGCAAGCCUGAACGAGCGAUGCCGCGUGAGUGAAGAAGGCCUUCGGGUCGUAAAGCUCUGUUGCGGGGGAAAAAAGGCAGCAUCAGGAAAUGGGUGCUGACUGAUGGUGCCCCGCCAGAAAGUCACGGCUAACUACGUGCCAGCAGCCGCGGUAAUACGUAGGUGACGGGCGUUAUCCGGAAGGAUUGGGCGUAAGGGGGUCGCAGGCGGGCCUGAAAGUCUGGAGUGAAAGGCAUGAGCUAAACUCAUGCAUGGCUUAGGAAACUGGAGGACUGGAGAGCAGGAGAGGGCGGUGGAACUCCAGGUGUAGCGGUAAAAUGCGUAGAUAUAUGGAAGAACACCAGUGGCGAAGGCGGGCGCCUGGCCUGUUGCUGACGCUGAGGCACGAAGGCGUGGGGAGCGAAUAGGAUUAGAUACCCUAGUAGUC